UUGCUCACUCCUACAACACACAUACUAAAACCAGAAUAACACAGAGAAGAGUAGCAUGCCCUCCAAACAAAGAUGCAGCAAAUUUGCGAAGUGCUAGGUUAUUUU
Molecule: small nuclear RNA, 105 nt
Filed under: Nannospalax galili (Upper Galilee mountains blind mole rat)
Lineage: Eukaryota; Metazoa; Chordata; Mammalia; Rodentia; Spalacidae
Source: RNAcentral